Athalia rosae (coleseed sawfly) is the source of this 1409-nucleotide long non-coding RNA. RefSeq lists it as uncharacterized. The transcript has 5 exons. NCBI's taxonomy places the organism in Eukaryota, Metazoa, Arthropoda, Insecta, Hymenoptera, Athaliidae. The record is from RefSeq and is a predicted model, not a curated record.
UUAUUGCUUGCGUAUCUCCAAAUCGAUCCGCCAGUAAAGUGAGUAUCGGCGUUGGUAGUAAAACCGCCUAGAUAACCGAUCCAGUGACCAACGCUGGACCAGGUACGCGACCACGUUGUUGUAGCGAUGGGCGCGAACUGCUUCGGUUACGGCAAACCGGCGAAAAAAAAUUCCCAAUAUCCUCGCACUCGCGGUAACCCAGGACGAGAUGAAGAUGAACGAAACACGAACGAACGUAGCGAAAACUGACGAUCGAUAAAUGCUCUUCCGCGAAAUGCCGAACGAAAACGAAAUUGACGGCCGUGGCCGCGACUUGCGCGCGGAGUAGUUUUUCUGUUCGUUUCUUUCCCUCGUAAAAACGGAGGAGAGAAGAUAUUCCGAGUAUUUUGAUCGCCGGGGCCCAAUUCUCGCAAUGCGAGGUGACGUAGCCGAUUUUUAUUAUUAUUAUUAUUAUUAUACGCGAUACAUUUUAUGAAGCUGUCGAUUAGAUUCGCGUAGGGAUAUACAUAUCGAGAGCCGCGUGUGUUCCGAAUCGAGCGGGGUCGAGAUCUCGGAUGCAUUCCGCGGACCGUGGAGAACUUUACGAUCGAAAUCCUCUCCGGCCAAAUGACCCAUCUCAAAUGCUCGUCUGAUCCCCGCAUUUUUAUUGAUUACGUUGAUUCGCGGCAUAUUUUAAUUGGCUUGAGAAACGGAUCGGCCAUUCGACGCACGAUGCCGCGAUGCAGUUUCUGCGGUCGAGACGCGAGACAAACGAACGAACGGACGAACGGACGAACAAACGCAUAAGUAAUUCCGAACAUCUGGAGUGUUUAAUUACCAGGAUAUCUUGCCUCUCUUCUUUCUCUGUUCUAAUUAAAACGACUGUACGCCGUGCGACUGGAGUAGACUGUGCGGAGGAACAGAGGCGUGUGCGCUCCUGCGGAGACCGGUGCAAGGCAGUCGUCGAAUCAUCACCCGGAAUUUCAACAUUCUUCUAAAGAACCGAGCACAAUUUGGAAGAAACAACCAACUUCGAUCGUACGGUCGUGACAAGUGCCUUGGAAAAAAAGAGAGUCGGUUGGGAGGGGGAUGGGAACGGAGGAGAAGAAAAGGAUCGAAUGGCUGCCUUGAUUGCGGAUCACCCGACGACGUAACUCAGCCAAAGUACGGCUACGUGUUUUCCGGACGUACGGAUUCCGAGAAGCAAUCGCAUCGUAACGAUCGUUCGGUCGGACUCGACGGGCUCCAAAAAUCGGCCCCCCAGCCUUCCGAUGCCGAAAAUUGAACACUCGCUUCAAUCCUUCUUCCGACCGAUCGAUCGCCUUCGGCGGAAAUGAUUUCUCAGAGGAGUCAGGAUUCAGCCCGGAGCACACGAGGCUCCAGAUAUUGUCCACUUGAUAAUACGACGCCCAACGAAUAAUAAAGAUACA